UACGUAGGGGGGCAAGCGUUUGUCCGGAUUUAUUGGGCGUAAAGAGCUCGUAGGCGGUUUGGUAAGUCUGGUGUGAAAUCUCCACGCUCAACGUGGAGGGGCCACCCGAUACUGCCAUGACUGGAGUCCGGUAGAGGAGUGUGGAAUUCCCGGUGUAGCGGUGAAAUGCGCAGAUAUCGGGAGGAACACCCGUAGCGAAGGCGGCACUCUGGGCCGGAACUGACGCUGAGGAGCGAAAGCGUGGGGAGCAAACAGG
This 256-nucleotide ribosomal RNA is filed under the name uncultured bacterium. RNAcentral describes it as "partial 16S ribosomal RNA". It matches the Rfam family "Bacterial small subunit ribosomal RNA", at positions 524 to 776 of the family's 1533-position model. The record is from RNAcentral.